RNAcentral lists this ribosomal RNA (253 nucleotides) under uncultured bacterium. RNAcentral describes it as "partial 16S ribosomal RNA". It matches the Rfam family "Bacterial small subunit ribosomal RNA", at positions 524 to 776 of the family's 1533-position model. The record is from RNAcentral.
UACGUAGGGGGCGAGCGUUGUCCGGAUUCAUUGGGCGUAAAGGGUGCGUAGGUGGCGUGGUAAGUCGGGUGUGAAAUUUCGGAGCUUAACUCCGAAACUGCAUUCGAUACUGCCGUGCUUGAGGACUGGAGAGGAGACUGGAAUUUACGGUGUAGCAGUGAAAUGCGUAGAGAUCGUAAGGAAGACCAGUAGCGAAGGCGGGUCUCUGGACAGUUCCUGACACUGAGGCACGAAGGCCAGGGGAGCAAACGGG